Molecule: ribosomal RNA, 497 nt
Filed under: uncultured bacterium
Lineage: Bacteria
Description: partial 16S ribosomal RNA
Rfam family: Bacterial small subunit ribosomal RNA
Source: RNAcentral
GACGAACGCUGGCGGCGUGCCUAAUACAUGCAAGUUGAGCGCUGAAGGUUGGUACUUGUACCAACUGGAUGAGCAGCGAACGGGUGAGUAACGCGUGGGGAAUCUGCCUUUGAGCGGGGGACAACAUUUGGAAACGAAUGCUAAUACCGCAUAAAAACUUUAAACACAAGUUUUAAGUUUGAAAGAUGCAAUUGCAUCACUCAAAGAUGAUCCCGCGUUGUAUUAGCUAGUUGGUGAGGUAAAGGCUCACCAAGGCGAUGAUACAUAGCCGACCUGAGAGGGUGAUCGGCCACAUUGGGACUGAGACACGGCCCAAACUCCUACGGGAGGCAGCAGUAGGGAAUCUUCGGCAAUGGACGAAAGUCUGACCGAGCAACGCCGCGUGAGUGAAGAAGGGUGUCGGAUCGUAAAACUCUGUUGGUAGAGAAGAACGUUGGUGAGAGUGGAAAGCUCAUCAAGUGGCGGUAACUACCCAGAAAGGGACGGCUAACUACGUG